AUCCGUUGAACUUGCUUGGUGGUGAGAUGGCGACGGGUGAUUAUGCGUGACGAGCGCCCCAUACCCGGAAUAGCUCCUGGAAACGGGUGGUAAUGCCGGAUGCUCCAGUUGAUCGCAUGGUCUUCUGGGAAAGCUUUCGCGGUAUGGGAUGGGGUCGCGUCCUAUCAGCUUGACGGCGGGGUAACGGCCCACCGUGGCUUCGACGGGUAGCCGGCCUGAGAGGGCGACCGGCCACAUUGGGACUGAGAUACGGCCCAGACUCCUACGGGAGGCAGCAGUGGGGAAUAUUGCACAAUGGGCGCAAGCCUGAUGCAGCGACGCCGCGUGAGGGAUGGAGGCCUUCGGGUUGUAAACCUCUUUUAUCGGGGAGCAAGCGAGAGUGAGUUUACCCGUUGAAUAAGCACCGGCUAACUACGUGCCAGCAGCCGCGGUAAUACGUAGGGUGCAAGCGUUAUCCGGACUUAUUGGGCGUAAAGGGCUCGUAGGCGGUUCGUCGCGUCCGGUGUGAAAGUCCAUCGCUUAACGGUGGAUCCGCGCCGGGUACGGGCGGGCUGGAGUGCGGUAGGGGAGACUGGAAUUCCCGGUGUAACGGUGGAAUGUGUAGAUCUCGGGAAGAACACCAAUGGCGAAGGCAGGUCUCUGGGCCGUUACUGACGCUGAGGAGCGAAAGCGUGGGGAGCGAACAGGAUUAGAUACCCUGGUAGUCCACGCCGUAUACGGUGGAUGCUGGAUGUGGGGGCCGUUCCCACGGGUCCCGUGUCGGAGCUACCGCGUUAGGCUCCCGCCUGGGGGAGUCGGCCGGAAGGCUAGACUCCGUGACUUGACGGGGCCCGACAAGCGGCGAGCUGCGGUUAUUCAUCUCGGGAUGACCUUACCUGGGCUGCAUGUCC
This 890-nucleotide ribosomal RNA is filed under the name human gut metagenome. Its description in RNAcentral is "bacterial SSU rRNA". It matches the Rfam family "Bacterial small subunit ribosomal RNA", at positions 70 to 989 of the family's 1533-position model. The record is from RNAcentral.